This 253-nucleotide ribosomal RNA is filed under the name uncultured bacterium. RNAcentral describes it as "partial 16S ribosomal RNA". It matches the Rfam family "Bacterial small subunit ribosomal RNA", at positions 524 to 776 of the family's 1533-position model. The record is from RNAcentral.
GACGUAGGGGGCGAGCGUUGUCCGGAAUUACUGGGCGUAAAGCGCGUGCAGGCGGCCUGGUAAGUCCCGUGUAAAAGCCUACGGCUCAACCGUAGGAGGCCGCGGGAUAUUGUCGGGCUAGAGGGCAGGAGAGGGAAGUGGAAUUCCCGGUGUAGCGGUGAAAUGCGUAGAUAUCGGGAGGAACGCCAGUGGCGAAGGCGGCUUCCUGGCCUGUCCCUGACGCUGAGACGCGAAAGCUGGGGGAGCGAACGGG